Molecule: long non-coding RNA, 1097 nt
Organism: Bombus terrestris (buff-tailed bumblebee)
Lineage: Eukaryota; Metazoa; Arthropoda; Insecta; Hymenoptera; Apidae
Exons: 4
Source: RefSeq, a predicted model, not a curated record
GCAACGCGAUAUUUCAAAUGCAAACAUUUCUUUCCAUUUCUAAAGUGUGACUCACGUAAUCGCAUGGUGUCGCUUCGCGCUGAUAGUUAUACACGGUGUGCUCUUUAUAUAACUCGUGCGUACCCGGUUCCACUUCAUUCGUUUAGUAUCAUUCUCUUCGUUGUACGCGUACAGCGGCUGUACGCUUCGACAGUGACACCGCGAACCUUUUAAUCUUGACGUGAUUCGGCACCGAUCAAACUGAUUGCGAGGGAUUCCAACAGCUUUCAAGCUCUCUCUCGAAAUUAUUGACCGCGUGUUUCAGGAAAUGCUCUCGUUCAGCAGGCAAACGGCGUCGAAAGAACCAACCAUCGAUGGAUUCGUGUUUGAAAUCGAUCUGCCUUGUCGAUCGUUGAUCACCGCGCUAAUUUUGGCAGGAAGCUUGAACCAUGGUGAAUAACAUUUAAUCGUAACGGAGGUUGGAAGUAGGAAUUCGGAGAUCGGGAUCUGAAACGGUUGCGCCGCUUAGACCAAGGCUACCAGAGAGAACAAGGCGCCGUGGUUCCGUGGAGAAUCUUCCAAGGCGUUUAAAGCACAAAAGUCUGGGAUGAUCCAAUAGCGAGGUGAAUCUCGGUGGAAGUUCCACGAUGGGAUUUCCCUGGGACGGAAACCGCGAGAACGAAUGCCGGGCACGAUCCACGAGGCCGCAUCAUUCACCGACAGAUCGACUGGGACUAUCCGGCGGAGAGGCUCGAAGAAGACGCGCGGGGCCGCGCCGUGGAGGACAGCCUCGCACCAGAAGCUAUCUCGAGACCGGCCUGAUCGGAGCAGCCUGCCUCCCUCGAUUGAUCCACCAGAUUCUUCAUACAAAAACAACAUAUAGUAUUGCUAAGAGGGAUAACGAUCCUCCAGCGGAGCAAGAAUACUGUCGUGACAAGCGACAAAUAUUUUAAUUUACAACAAUUAAGCAGAGAGAGAAAACUUUCCAUCCCGAUAUCAUAACGAAAUUAAUUUAAGAAAUGAAAUCGUUCGUAUAGUUUCAUAGAAUAAUAAUUCGUACAUGUAAUUUAGUCAGAAAUAAACGUGAAAUAUCUACAUGACGAUCGUCGUUCGAAGGU